UUAAAAUGAUGAUUGGUAAUUUUGUCCAGUUCUGCUACUGAAUAAGCAUGCUGAUAAUUUACCCUUUGCUUACCUUUUACUGAUUA
RNAcentral lists this small nucleolar RNA (86 nucleotides) under Neocallimastix californiae. Lineage: Eukaryota; Fungi; Neocallimastigomycota; Neocallimastigomycetes; Neocallimastigales; Neocallimastigaceae. The record is from RNAcentral.